This 71-nucleotide transfer RNA is filed under the name bacterium. Its description in RNAcentral is "tRNA-Trp". It matches the Rfam family "tRNA". From Rfam's summary of the family: Transfer RNA (tRNA) molecules are approximately 80 nucleotides in length. Their secondary structure includes four short double-helical elements and three loops (D, anti-codon, and T loops). The record is from RNAcentral.
GGGGGAAUAUUUCAAUGGUAGAAUUCUGGUCUCCAAAACCAGCGAUGAGGGUUCAAGUCCUUCUUCCCCCG